Molecule: RNA transcript, 3841 nt
Organism: Manis pentadactyla (Chinese pangolin)
Lineage: Eukaryota; Metazoa; Chordata; Mammalia; Pholidota; Manidae
Gene: SEPTIN9
Gene name: septin 9
Exons: 12
Source: RefSeq, a predicted model, not a curated record
CAGCCGGCAGAGGGGCUGGAGGGGGUGGAGAGAAGGCGCCGGAAGCCGCACGCCGCACCUCUGAAGCCACCGCGCACAAAGCCCAGACGGCCUGGGCGCCGGAGGACCAGGCCACGCGCGCCCCCUUGGCCUCUUUUUCCUUCUCUCUGGCUCCCCUUUCCCUCCCGAUUCAAAAAGACGAUGCUGCUUCAGCUUGGAGCACAAACAUAUGAUCAGCACAUGGAAAUGUGGUAAUUUGGAUGCAUUCGUGAUUGCAACAGAUUGAAGAAAUUAGACCAGACAAAGAGUGUUUUUGGAGGAGGAGGAAGAGGCAGAGAGGGAGGGCGUCGGGGGUGAGAAAGGGGAGGACGCCUCUGGAGAGGGGGUCGCCAGACUCCCGCCUGCUGCUAAAUAUCCCGUAGUGAUGGAGAGAGACCGGAUCACAGCCUUGAAAAGAUCAUUUGAGGUUGAGGAGGUCGAGACGCCCAACUCCACCCCACCCCGGAGGGUCCAGACCCCCCUGCUCCGGGCCACUGUGGCCAGCUCCACCCAGAAAUUCCAGGACCUGGGUGUGAAGAACUCAGAACCCGCAGCCCGCCAUGUAGACUCCCUAAGCCAGCGCUCCCCCAAGGCUGCCCUGCGCAGGGUGGAGCUCCCGGGGCCCAAGGCCGAGCCCGUGUCUCGGCGCACCGAGAUCUCCAUUGACAUCUCAUCCAAGCAGGUGGAGAGCGCCGGUGCCAGCGGGCCAUCCCGGUUCGGGCUCAAGCGGGCCGAGGCGCUGGGCCACAAGACACCAGAGCCCACCCCUCGGAGGACGGAGAUCACCAUAGUCAAACCCCAGGAGUCAGCCCACCGGAGGAUGGAGAACGCCACUUCCAGGAUCCCUGAGGGACCCGCCGCCCCCACCACGGACGCAGCCUCCAAGAGGGUGGAGAUCCAGGUGCCUAGGCCAGCUGAGGUGCCUGCCGCCCCCAUCCUACCCCAGGCCCUGGAGAAUUCAGAACCCAGCCCGAUGUCUCCACUGCAGAGCAGGCUGGAGCCCAAGCCCCAGGCUCCUGCGGCCGAGGCCCCGCCCAGGAGCCAGGAGGCUACUGAGGCAGCUCCUGGCUGUGCUGGUGACAUGGCCGACACCCCCAGAGAUGUCGGGCUCAAGCAGGCGCCCUUGCCUCGGAACGAGAAGGCCCCUGUCGACUUCGGCUACGUGGGGAUCGACUCCAUCCUGGAGCAGAUGCGCAGGAAGGCCAUGAAGCAGGGCUUCGAGUUCAACAUCAUGGUGGUCGGGCAGAGCGGCUUGGGGAAGUCCACCUUGAUCAACACCCUCUUCAAAUCCAAAAUCAGCCGAAAGUCGGUGCAGCCCACCUCAGAGGAGCGCAUCCCCAAGACGAUUGAGAUCAAGUCCAUCACGCAUGAUAUCGAGGAGAAAGGUGUCCGCAUGAAGCUGACGGUCAUCGACACGCCAGGGUUUGGUGACCACAUCAACAAUGAGAACUGCUGGCAGCCCAUUAUGAAGUUCAUCAAUGACCAAUACGAGAAGUACCUACAGGAGGAGGUCAACAUCAACCGGAAGAAGCGCAUCCCGGACACGCGCGUCCACUGCUGCUUGUACUUCAUUCCUGCCACUGGCCACUCCCUCAGGCCCCUGGACAUCGAGUUCAUGAAACGCCUGAGCAAAGUGGUUAACAUUGUUCCGGUCAUUGCCAAGGCUGACACGCUGACCCUGGAGGAGAGGGUCUACUUCAAGCAGCGGAUCACUGCGGACCUGCUGUCCAACGGCAUCGAUGUGUACCCCCAGAAGGAGUUUGACGAGGACUUGGAGGACAGGCUGGUGAACGAGAAAUUCCGGGAGAUGAUCCCUUUCGCGGUGGUGGGCAGUGAUCACGAGUACCAAGUGAAUGGGAAGAGGAUCCUUGGGAGGAAAACCAAAUGGGGUACCAUUGAAGUUGAGAAUACCACACACUGUGAGUUUGCCUACCUGCGGGACCUGCUCAUCAGGACGCACAUGCAGAACAUCAAGGACAUCACCAGUAGCAUCCACUUCGAGGCCUACCGGGUGAAGCGCCUGAACGAGGGCAACAGCGCCAUGUCCAACGGGGUCGAGGAGAAGGAGCCAGAAGCCCAGGAGAUGUAGGCUCUGCCCUGCCCCUAGGACCCUGCACCCGGUCUUUUCCGUCCCCCCAGGCCUGCCCACUUCCCCUUUUUAUUUUAUAUAAUUUCCUCCAUUUGUCCUCGUGACCUGCCCCUACACGCUGCCCUUAACAAGAUAAUGUGUACCCUCCUGAGUAUGUUCGGCAUUAGCCCUCUGAUGGGGCCUGGACUGGGGGUGGCUUGGAGUAGAGGCAGCUCUGGCCAUCCCUGAGGGCCUGCCAACCCCCAGCCCCAGGCCUGGCUCCUGGGGCCCAGAAGGCAGUCUUGCUCCCCCUCCACCACAGCCUCUCGUGCAUGUUGUGGUUGUGCCCGGGAGCCAGCCUGGUGGACCUGAAGCCCUCCCCCACCCCCACCUCCCUACAUGGCGUGGGCCAUAACUCAAACCGUGAAACUCAGAGCCCCCUGCUCUUGGCCCACCCCUGAGGGGAGAGUAAUAAGUCCCAUGAAUGCAAGUUGCCGAUUGCUUAGACACAGCAAAGCCCAUUGGCUGCUGCCCACCUGCCCCCCUGCAAGCCCAUCCUGGGGCAGAAAGUGCCUUUAUCUCAGUUGUCCAUGCAAGCCAGCAGACUCUCCCCAGAUGUCCCCGCAGAUGGAAAAUCAGGACAGUCGGAGAGGGGGAGGUGUGUCUCAUCUCUCCAUUGUGUCCCUGCAACCACCCCCCAGCCUCGUGAUUUUGGAAAGUCAAGCAAGUGAAUCUGGUGGAGGAGCUGUGGGAGGAGGUGAUGGAUGGCAGGUGCUGGAAGGAAGGGGGCUUGGGAUGCUCAGAGCGGCCUUGGGGACCUUGAUGCCUGCUGCCCCACACUGCCCUGUGUGGCCGGGUGGGGGGUGUACCUCUUCGUGUGUUUGGACAUCCCUUUGGCCCAAGAUGCUCUGGUUAAAUUAAUGUUCAGUCGACCACCCAGGUACACAUUGAGCCCUCCUGGCCCAGACCUUGCUGACACUGUGACCCUGGGAUGUGGGAGACCAGGCUGACUUUUUGUUCCAUAAUUGUUCCUGGGCUCCUGCAACUCAGAGCCCAUUGUAAAGACCCUCAAAGGAAGAUACUGGGAAUCGUGGUGGCCCUCCGCCGACUGCAGAGUGGGCGUUCAUGUCAGCAUGGCCUGGCUGGUCUCUCUGCUCCCACACCUCUGUGUUGGCAUCAGCAGGGACCAUCCGAGCUGUGCAGAGUAGACUGACUGCAGGUGCUUCUUCCUGCCUCUUUACAAGAGUGAGGGGACUGGUGCCUGGCUCAGGCCAAGAUGAAACACAGGUGGGGUGACAUCUGUCCACAGGCCCCAGGCUGGCUGCUUGUAGCUGAUGAGAAGAGUGGAGGCAGCAUGGGGCAUGGGUAGACCUGGGGGCGGGGGGGGGGGCUGCACACGUGUGCAUGCAGGUGUGGGUGUCCUUUCUCUGUUGAGCCCCGCCCACCCAGAGAGGAAGGGCCCUUCAGUGAAACAGUUUACUUGCCGACUUGCCAUGUUUUUGCCAAAACCAAGAUCCUGAAGGAAAUGUCCAUCUCCAGCAGGGUCCAGGAUGCGGGCAGACUGGAGGUGGAGUUCUGCCCUGGGAGGGCUUCACUUUCCUCUGUAGCCAAAUUUUGAAAGAAUUGUUCGUUUCGCUGGGAUGUGUUCCACAGUGGCCUUUAGCUAUGUGCCUCCUGAGAAAUUUUUUUUUGUAUAAAUAACAAAGCGUUGAAAAGGUAUUUCCUGAAAUAAAUGUUCCAAAUGCAAACCUGGAA